This 219-nucleotide unclassified non-coding RNA is filed under the name plant metagenome. RNAcentral's name for it is "partial contains small subunit ribosomal RNA, internal transcribed spacer 1, and 5.8S ribosomal RNA". The record is from RNAcentral.
UUUCCGUAGGUGAACCUGCGGAAGGAUCACUACAGAGUUUUUGCGCUCACUGGUAGAUCUCCUACCCUUGAAUCUUUAUACCUUAGUUGCUUUAGCAGGCCCUGGAAACACUUGGGCCCCGGCUUAUGCGUGCCUGCCAGAGGAAACAAAAUCUGUCUUUAGUGAUGUCUGAGUACUCUAUAAUAGUUAAAACUUUCAACAACGGAUCUCUUGGUUCUG